GAGCCCUACGAGAUCCCUGCUGCCAUGAUCGCUGAAUCCGAGAAGAGGUCGUAUGUGCUCAAGAUAGACGGAUACUCAAUGGCCAACGCGCUGCUCAAGAACGGGGAGUGCAUGACUUCCGCCCCAUUCAGCGUUGGAGGCCACAACUGGGUCGUGAGAUAUUACCCCAACGGCUAUCCUAAGCACUGUGACAAUUAUAUCUCUCUCUAUGUGCAGCUUGAAGCUGCCGAUGCCGAGGACGUGAAGGCCAAGGCCAAAUUGAAGCUCAGCGUGCUCGACAAGAAUGGAAAUCCGGUGCCUUCGUACAGCCGUACCAUCCCUCUACACACCUUCUCAAGGAGGGCUCCAGACCGUGGCUACCAUGACUUCAUCCACAAGGCUGGCCUUGAGGUAUCGCCGCACCUUAGAGACGAUUGUCUCACCAUCAGGUGUGAUGUCACCGUCGUCAAGGACAUCGACCAAGAAGCAAGGAUUCCUCCAAGCGACCUGCACCGGCAUCUCGGCGAUCUCCUACAGAGCAAUGAUGGAGCGGACCUGACUUUUCAAGUGGGCGGACGGACAUUCCCGGCUCACAGGUGUGUCCUAGCUGCUCGGUCAUCCGUGUUCAAGGCGGGGCUCCUCGGUGCCCUGGUGGAGAGUUCAUGCAGUACUAUUGAAAUUCGUGACAUGGAACCUGAUGUGUUCGAGUACUUGCUCCAUUUCAUAUACACCGACUCCGUUCCUCUACAUGAUGUGGUGAUGGCCGGGCAUCUACUCGAAGCGGCUGACAGGUACGACAUCCCUAGGCUUAAGGUGAUAUGCGAGGAGAAAUUGUGCAGUCACAUUGAUUCCAACAUGGUGGCGACCAGCUUGGCUUUGGCUAGGCAGCAUGGUUUCCGUCGUCUCAAUAAAGCUUGUUUGCAGUUCCUUGCUUCUCCGUCCAACUUUGAUGCGAUGGUGGCAAGUGAUGGCUUUGAGCAUCUGCUAGCCAGCUAC
RNAcentral lists this ribosomal RNA (975 nucleotides) under Triticum aestivum (bread wheat). Its description in RNAcentral is "partial small subunit ribosomal RNA". The record is from RNAcentral. Lineage: Eukaryota; Viridiplantae; Streptophyta; Magnoliopsida; Poales; Poaceae.